GCAUAUCAAUAAGCGGAGGAAAAGAAACUAACAAGGAUUCCCCUAGUAGCGGCGAGCGAAGCGGGAAGAGCUCAAAUUUAUAAUCUGGCACCUUCGGUGUCCGAGUUGUAAUCUCUAGAAGUGUUUUCCGCGUUGGACCGCACACAAGUCUGUUGGAAUACAGCGGCACAGUGGUGAUACCCCCGUACACGGUGCGGACGCCCAGCGCUUUGUGAUACACUUUCAAUGAGUCGAGUUGUUUGGGAAUGCAGCUCAAAUUGGGUGGUAAAUUCCAUCUAAAGCUAAAUAUUGGCGAGAGACCGAUAGCGAACAAGUACCGUGAGGGAAAGAUGAAAAGCACUUUGGAAAGAGAGUUAACAGUACGUGAAAUUGUUGGAAGGGAAACGCUUGAAGUCAGACUUGCUUGCCGGAGCUUGCUUCGGUUUGCAGGCCAGCAUCAGUUUUCCGGGGUGGAUAAUGGUGGUUUGAAGGUAGCAGCCUCGGCUGUGUUAUAGCUUUCCACUGGAUACAUCCUGGGGGACUGAGGAACGCAGCGUGCUUUUUGCGAAGGUUUCGACCUUUUCACGCUUAGGAUGCUGGUGUAAUGACUUUAAACGACCCGUCUUGAAA
Molecule: ribosomal RNA, 609 nt
Filed under: Rhodotorula kratochvilovae
Lineage: Eukaryota; Fungi; Basidiomycota; Microbotryomycetes; Sporidiobolales; Sporidiobolaceae
Description: eukaryotic LSU rRNA
Rfam family: Eukaryotic large subunit ribosomal RNA
Source: RNAcentral